AGAGUUUGAUCCUGGCUCAGGAUGAACGCUGGCGGCGUGUCUAAGGCAUGCAAGUCGAACGAGUCCUUCGGGACUAGUGGCAAACGGGUGCGUAACACAUUAGUAAUCUACCUUUGACUCGUGAAUAACUUUCCGAAAGGGGAGCUAAUACACGAUGUGCUAAUCAGACAUAUGGAUGAUUAGUAAAGAUUUAUCGGUCAAAGAGGAGCUUAUGGCCUAUCAGCUUGUUGGUGGAGUAAAAGCCCACCAAGGCUACGACGGGUAGCGGGUGUGAGAGCAUGACCCGCCUCACUGGGACUGAGACACUGCCCAGACUCCUACGGGAGGCUGCAGUCAAGAAUAUUCCCCAAUGGACGAAAGUCUGAGAGAGCGACGCCGCGUGAAAGAAGACGCCCUUCGGGGUGUAAAUUUCUUUUCUUAGGGACGAACUAAUGACGGUACCUAAGGAAUAAGGGGCUGCUAACUUCGUGCCAGCAGCAGCGGUAAUACGAAGGCCCCAAGCGUUAUCCGGAAUUAUUGGGCGUAAAGCGUCUGUAGACGGCUAAUUAAGUCAAUGGUUAAAUCUUGAUGCUCAACAUCGAGCCCGCCAUUGAUACUGACUAGCUAGAGUCCGGGAGAGGUAAGCGGAAUUGCCGGUGUAGUAGUAAAAUGCGUUAAUAUCGGCAGGAACACCAAAUGCGAAGGCAGCUUACUGGAACGGUACUGACGUUGAGAGACGAAAGCGUGGGUAGCGAAGGGGAUUAGAUACCCCCGUAGUCCACGCCGUAAACGCUGGAUGCUAGACAUUGGUAGUAUCGACCCUAUCAGUGUCGUCGAACCAAGCUAACGCGUUAAGCAUCCCGCCUGGGGAGUACGGUCGCAAGACUAAAACUCAAAGGAAUUGACGGGAACCCGCACAAGCGGUGGAGCAUGUGGUUUAAUUCGACAUUAAGCGAGGAACCUUACCAAGGCUUGACAUCCUCGGAAUUCCUGGGAAACCGGGAAGUGCCUUCGGGAGCCGAGUGACAGGUGCUGCAUGGUCGUCGUCAGCUCGUGUCGUGAGAUGUACGGUUAAGUCCGGAAACGAGCGCAACCCUUAUUCUGUGCUACAUAUUUCACAGGAGACUGCCAUCUUAAAGAUGGAGGAAGGUGGGGAUGACGUCAGAUCAGCAUGGCUCUUACCCCUUGGGCUACACACGUGCUACAAUGGCCGGUACAACGGGUCGCCAAACCGAAAGGUGGAGCUAAUCCAAUAAAACCGGUCUCAGUUCGGAUUGAGGGCUGAAAUUCGCCCUCAUGAAGUUGGAAUCGCUAGUAACCGUGAAUCAGCCAUGUCGCGGUGAAUACGUUCUCGGGUUUUGUACG
Molecule: ribosomal RNA, 1344 nt
Filed under: metagenome
Description: bacterial SSU rRNA
Rfam family: Bacterial small subunit ribosomal RNA
Source: RNAcentral